AGAAUUGGGAUUAAUACAUAUCUCUGCUAGUAUUUGGUUAAAAUUGAUGAUCUGUUUAUGGUUAAUAAACACAUGCAUAUUUUUCAAGCUGCUUGUUUGAGAAAACAGGGACUGCUAUCAUGUCCUAGAAUUUUGUGAUAUACUAAUAUUGGUCGGGAGGCUGUUGGUAAUAGUCUCCAACCAAGUUAUGUGGGCUGUGAAUUGAACCUUCUGAUAGUUUAUAUGGACUUUUUAAUCUUCUUACUUUUUCUUGGUUGGUAGUACACUAUUUUCUCACAUUUAGGAUCCUCUGCUUCUUGUUAGAAAUGUGGUGAAUCCCCCCUCCCCCUCUUUAUUUCUCUUACAAAUUUGCUUCUUAAUUUGGUUUUUCCUUUGUUUUAGUUAGCUUACAUUUUUUUUCUGUUUUUUUAUUUUUUAUUUUUUUUUUUAUUUUUUAUAUAAUUGUAGAAUUGUUCAGUGUUAUGGAUUCUUCGAUUGCUAUUGAUUCUACCAAUGCUAAAGAUUAUACGGAUGUACCUUUGGAAAAGGAUAAUGUACGUGUUUUCUUAUUUCCUCAUUUUAUGUUUUCUUAUUAAAUGCUUGCUGAUUUAAUGAAUUAUUAAAGAACUCACUAGUACAAAAUUGAGUUUGUGUAACACGUUUUGGUAACACUUUUUGAAAUGCAAAAUUAUUAGAUUUAUAAGUAACACUUUGGUAACAUUUUUUUAGAAUAUAACACUCAAUAUAACACUUUUAACAUGAGUAACAUUUCAAAGUAACAUUUUUAAAGUAGGUAACAUUAUAUGGUAAUACUAAGAGGUGUUACCUAAUUUUUGGAAAAAAAAUAAAAUAAAAUUAAACAUUCAAUUAAAAUUUCCAAAUUUAACAAUUCAUUUUUCGAGGUUUAUUAUUGUCGCCAAAAGAAAAUGAAAAAUAAUAUUUAGGCCAAAAUUAAUUUUGAAACCGCCAAAGAAAAAAAAAAAAAAAAAUCAAUCCUUAAACUUCCUCCUCCCGGCAGCAACGAAAAUUCUUGAACCUCUAAUCUUAUUUCUUCUCUCUAUCCUCACCCUCACCCUCUUUCUCUCUAUACCUUCACAAUUCAAACCUAGAAAUCAAGGAAUUCCUCGACCUUCGCCGUUUACAAAUUCGUAUGCGUUUCUCUAUAAAACGGAGCAGUUUCAGUCUAACACUCUAACACACAGAAGGUGAAGAAAAGAGCAUUAUCAGCUUACUCCUCCCCUCAUUAGAUUCAUCUUGUUUUGAUAUUAAUCCAUAAUUCAGUGUGUCCUAUGUACCAAUUUUUUUUGCCUUAGUUUUCCGGUGAUUUUGUGAAACAGUUCUUGUAAUAAUCAGAUUUACCAACCUAUAGAAGAAGAAGUUAAGGCGGAGAAAGAAAUCAAGCGGGAUCUUAUGAAAGAGUAGUGGAGCAGUGGUUAGUGUUUUGUGUAUGUAAUUUUAUCAAAGGGCCAUAUUCUCCACAUUUCACUAUGUCAUGUUUUGCUGAGCUUGAGUGAUGGCAUUUUUUUUUUCCCACAAAAUAGUUUUUUUCUUCUUAAAUAAUUUGAAGAAUAUGAAUGCAUGAAACAAAAAACACUGAACUCUGUGAGUGAUUUCUUGCUUGUAUGAUAGUCUGCAGAUUUUUGAAAUCUCUUCUUUUUUUUCAUGAUAUUUUAAAUCGUAUUUAGGAAGUUAUUUGAGCUUUCGACAAACUGAGGAAGUUGGAAUUGUUCUUUAAGGAUGAGAGCAAGCAUGGUCUUUCAGUUUCUAAUCUUUGCGAACUUGUUUAGCAUGCUGGCAAUGUGUUACCGAGGCUGUAAGUUUUAAUUAAUGGUUGGUGACAUUGGCUUUGCAAACUAUGAACUUUGAUUGAAUGAAUUCCUUUCAAGGAUGCUAUGGAGUUGAUUAGUACUUUGUUUUUGUAUAUGAUUAUAACCAGAACUCCUUUGACACUUGAACUAGACUUCUGAAAAAGAAUACCUAAAAACGCCCUUGAGAUAGAGUCUUACCAUUAUACCAAUUUGCCUCAAAGACUUAAUAAGUAUUAUGUUAACAGUUUUUCUUGAAGAAUAUCUUUUUUUACUUAUUAUUCUUCUUUGAUGAAGAUAUAAGAACUUUCCAUUACUUUUAUUAUGAGAUACUCAAAGCUUGUAGUUAUCUGAGUUUCACCUGGAAUCAGCACCUUUAGAGAAGAGGACCAUGUCAGGUCUUAGAUUAUUCAAUUACUGACUAUGGUCUAACAUGUAGUGUCUGGCUUGAUGUUAGCUUGUGAUAAUUUGUAAUGAUAUUUGAAGUAAAAAGGAUAUAAAUGAAAAUUUCCCUUUUUAAUCAAGAAAUUGGUUUGUGCACCUGUUGUUCAGGUGUUGUAUUAAUUUCAUAUGCUUAUAUUAUUGUGAUUUUUAUGCAAUUUGUGUUGAGAACCUUACUCAUCGAGGUAUCUGCAAGUCUGCAUUGGUGAGGUAACUCCUCUGAUUGGAUAAACAGUCUUGGAUUACUGCCGAUCCUUUUGAUUCUCUCUGCCUGAAAGUCACUAACUUGUUGAAAGACUACAAGAAACGUAAUUGCAUAUAUGGAGCUGCUGAUGUUUGGGGAGAUUAAUAAUACAAGAUCAACUUAGAUAAACAUUUUUCCUUUAUUUUUUUCCGGGAUUGAGAAAUUGGAGUUGUCUACUAUUAUUGCUGCCGCUAUCACACCGCUGACUGCUGCUGCUAUUACUGGUGUCUGCUAUUGUUACUGCUGCUUCUACUGUUUGCUGCUAUCGCUAUCUAUUGUUACUGCUAUCACUGUUACCGAAGUUGACUUUUUGAAUUUAAUUGGUCUAGAGACCGAAGUUGACUUUCUUUUUGUUUAGAUUAUUAGAUUGUUUAUCCAAACAAAAAAAAAUUGGUGUUAGAUAGAUUUUUAUUAUAAAAGAAAUAUGAAAUUAUAUCAAUUCAAAUUAUUGUCUAUCGUAUAUGUUAAUCUCACAUUCGUGGUUGUUGUACAUGUU
Long non-coding RNA from Chenopodium quinoa (quinoa), 2965 nucleotides. RefSeq lists it as uncharacterized. The record is from RefSeq and is a predicted model, not a curated record. NCBI's taxonomy places the organism in Eukaryota, Viridiplantae, Streptophyta, Magnoliopsida, Caryophyllales, Amaranthaceae. The transcript has 3 exons.